UGGCCGCAUAUGAUUUGACGGUCCUCA
RNAcentral lists this small RNA (27 nucleotides) under Bombyx mori (domestic silkworm). RNAcentral describes it as "ovarian small RNA-34807". Lineage: Eukaryota; Metazoa; Arthropoda; Insecta; Lepidoptera; Bombycidae. The record is from RNAcentral.